Molecule: ribosomal RNA, 380 nt
Filed under: uncultured eukaryote
Lineage: Eukaryota
Description: partial 18S ribosomal RNA
Rfam family: Eukaryotic small subunit ribosomal RNA
Source: RNAcentral
CAAUAGCGUAUAUUAAAGUUGUUGCGGUUAAAAAGCUCGUAGUUGGAUUUCUGCCGAGGACGACCGGUCCGCCCUCCGGGUGAGUAUCUGGUUUGGCCUGGGCAUCUUCUUGGAGAACGUAGCUGCACUUGACUGUGUGGUGCGGUGUCCAGGACUUUUACUUUGAGGAAAUUAGAGUGUUUCAAGCAGGCACACGCCUUGAAUACAUUAGCAUGGAAUAAUAAGAUAGGACCUCGGUUCUAUUUUGUUGGUUUCUAGAGCUGAGGUAAUGAUUAAUAGGGAUAGUUGGGGGCAUUCGUAUUUAACUGUCAGAGGUGAAAUUCUUGGAUUUGUUAAAGACAGACUACUGCGAAAGCAUUUGCCAAGGAUGUUUUCAUUGA